Molecule: ribosomal RNA, 497 nt
Filed under: uncultured bacterium
Lineage: Bacteria
Description: partial 16S ribosomal RNA
Rfam family: Bacterial small subunit ribosomal RNA
Source: RNAcentral
GAUGAACGCUGGCGGCGUGCCUAAUACAUGCAAGUCGAGCGAACGGACGAGAAGCUUGCUCCUCUGAUGUUAUCGGCGGACGGGUGAGUAACACGUGGACAACCUACCUAUAAGACUGGGAUAAUUUCGGGAAACCGUAUCUAAUACCCGAUAAUUUUUCGAACUGCAUUGUUCAAAAGUAAAAGACGGUCUUGCUUACACUAAUAGAUGGAUCCGGGUUGAAUUAGUUAGUUGGUAAGGUAACGGCUUAACAACGCAACGAUGCAUAGCCGACCUGAGCGGGUGAGCGCACAGACUGUAAGUGAGAAAGGGUACAGACACCUAGGGGAGGCAGCAGUAGGGACUCUUACGGAAUGGGGGAAUGCGGGACAGAGCAAAGGCGCGGGAGUGAUGAAGGUCUACGGAUCGGAGAACGAUGAUAGUAGGGAAGAACAAAUGUGUAAGUAACUGUGCAGAUAUUGACAGUACCUAAUGAGAAAGCCACGGCUAACUCCGUG